Molecule: transfer RNA, 76 nt
Filed under: Mycobacterium kansasii
Lineage: Bacteria; Bacillati; Actinomycetota; Actinomycetes; Mycobacteriales; Mycobacteriaceae
Also listed under: 9 other names
Description: tRNA-Lys
Rfam family: tRNA
About the family: Transfer RNA (tRNA) molecules are approximately 80 nucleotides in length. Their secondary structure includes four short double-helical elements and three loops (D, anti-codon, and T loops). Further hydrogen bonds mediate the characteristic L-shaped molecular structure. tRNAs have two regions of fundamental functional importance: the anti-codon, which is responsible for specific mRNA codon recognition, and the 3' end, to which the tRNAs corresponding amino acid is attached (by aminoacyl-tRNA synthetases). tRNAs cope with the degeneracy of the genetic code in two manners: having more than one tRNA (with a specific anti-codon) for a particular amino acid; and 'wobble' base-pairing, i.e. permitting non-standard base-pairing at the 3rd anti-codon position.
Source: RNAcentral
GCCCCUAUAGCUCAGUUGGUAGAGCUACGGACUUUUAAUCCGCAGGUCCCAGGUUCGAGUCCUGGUGGGGGCACCG